CGAUCCUACGGGACGCAGCAGUGGGGGAUAUUGCACAAUGGAGGAAACUCUGAUGCAGCGACGCCGCGUGAGGGAAGACGGUCUUCGGAUUGUAAACCUCUGUCUUUGGGGAAGAAAAUGACGGUACCUAAAGAGGAAGCUCCGGCUAACUACGUGCCAGCAGCCGCGGUAAUACGUAGGGAGCGAGCGUUGUCCGGAAUUACUGGGUGUAAAGGGAGCGUAGGCGGGAGAGCAAGUCGACUGUGAAAUCUAUUGGCUUAAACCAUAGCUGCGAUCGAAACUGGUCAUCUU
Molecule: ribosomal RNA, 291 nt
Filed under: uncultured bacterium
Lineage: Bacteria
Description: partial 16S ribosomal RNA
Rfam family: Bacterial small subunit ribosomal RNA
Source: RNAcentral